This 830-nucleotide ribosomal RNA is filed under the name Ganoderma multiplicatum. RNAcentral's name for it is "partial large subunit ribosomal RNA". It matches the Rfam family "Eukaryotic large subunit ribosomal RNA", at positions 72 to 889 of the family's 3401-position model. The record is from RNAcentral. Lineage: Eukaryota; Fungi; Basidiomycota; Agaricomycetes; Polyporales; Polyporaceae.
GGAUUCCCCUAGUAACUGCGAGUGAAGCGGGAAAAGCUCAAAUUUGAAAUCUGGCGGUCUUUGGCCGUCCGAGUUGUAGUCUGGAGAAGUGCUUUCCGCGCUGGACCGUGUAUAAGUCUCUUGGAACAGAGCGUCAUAGAGGGUGAGAAUCCCGUCUUUGACACGGACUACCAGUGCUUUGUGAUGCGCUCUCAAAGAGUCGAGUUGUUUGGGAAUGCAGCUCAAAAUGGGUGGUGAAUUCCAUCUAAAGCUAAAUAUUGGCGAGAGACCGAUAGCGAACAAGUACCGUGAGGGAAAGAUGAAAAGCACUUUGGAAAGAGAGUUAAACAGUACGUGAAAUUGCUGAAAGGGAAACGCUUGAAGUCAGUCGCGUCGUCCGGAACUCAGCCUUGCUUUCGCUUGGUGCACUUUCCGGAUGACGGGUCAGCAUCGAUUUUGACCGUCGGAAAAGGGCUGGAGUAAUGUGGCACCUCCGGGUGUGUUAUAGACUCCGGUCGCAUACGGCGGUUGGGAUUGAGGAACGCAGCGCGCCGCAAGGCAGGGGUUCGCCCACUUUCGCGCUUAGGAUGCUGGCAUAAUGGCUUUAAACGACCCGUCUUGAAACACGGACCAAGGAGUCUAACAUACCUGCGAGUGUUUGGGUGGAAAACCCGAGCGCGUAAUGAAAGUGAAAGUUGAGAUCCCUGUCGUGGGGAGCACCGACGCCCGGACCUGACGUUCUCUGACGGAUCCGCGGUAGAGCAUGUAUGUUGGGACCCGAAAGAUGGUGAACUAUGCCUGAAUAGGGUGAAGCCAGAGGAAACUCUGGUGGAGGCUCGUAGCGAUUCUGA